GAUGAACGCUGGCGGCGUGCCUAAUACAUGCGAGUCGAGCGAACAGACGAGGAGCUUGCUCCUCUGACGUUAGCGGCGGACGGGUGAGUAACACGUGGAUAACCUACCUAUAAGACUGGGAUAACUUCGGGAAACCGGAGCUAAUACCGGAUAAUAUAUUGAACCGCAUGGUUCAAUAGUGAAAGACGGUUUUGCUGUCACUUAUAGAUGGAUCCGCGCCGCAUUAGCUAGUUGGUAAGGUAACGGCUUACCAAGGCAACGAUGCGUAGCCGACCUGAGAGGGUGAUCGGCCACACUGGAACUGAGACACGGUCCAGACUCCUACGGGAGGCAGCAGUAGGGAAUCUUCCGCAAUGGGCGAAAGCCUGACGGAGCAACGCCGCGUGAGUGAUGAAGGUCUUCGGAUCGUAAAACUCUGUUAUUAGGAAAGAACAAAUGUGUAAGUAACUAUGCACGUCUUGACGGUACCUAAUCAGAAAGCCACGGCUAACUACGUG
RNAcentral lists this ribosomal RNA (497 nucleotides) under uncultured bacterium. RNAcentral describes it as "partial 16S ribosomal RNA". It matches the Rfam family "Bacterial small subunit ribosomal RNA", at positions 28 to 507 of the family's 1533-position model. The record is from RNAcentral.